This 566-nucleotide long non-coding RNA is filed under the name Cyanistes caeruleus (blue tit). Its description in RNAcentral is "lncRNA (ENSCCEG00000014565.1)". The record is from RNAcentral. Lineage: Eukaryota; Metazoa; Chordata; Aves; Passeriformes; Paridae.
CUCCUUCCAACAGCCCAAGUAGAGACAAACCACUACAGGAAAACUUUCUGCCCCUGAGGUGUUAUAAAAGUGUAACUGGAAAGGUCUAGAUAAAAUUUACUGCAAAGAUAAAAUUUACUUAACAGAGUGCAGAAAAUUGCAGUUCUGGAAACACCUUGGAGAUCUGCUGGCUGGUGGCUGAGGCUGACCAGUGUGAGGGGUAGGAGUAAUAUGCAGAGGGUGGACCUUGUAGAAUGGGGAAAAACCAGUGAGAGAAAGCACGGGCAUGGGAAGCACUUCCCACAGUGCAGCUGGCACUGUGCUUUCCCAAGAAGAGAAAGAAGUGGUCUACAGCCCUCAAACCCAGGUUGCACACACCAUUGAUCCCUUUGACUACCAGCUUCCAGACCUGCUGCCCAGGAGCCAUCGAGCUUUUCUGAGCUGGUCUUGUCAGAGAAGCUGUUAGAUUUCUUCUUGCUAAGGCCCUGGAGGACACUAAGCUACAGGUGGGUAGUUUUCUGCAUUGUAGCACAGCAGAUGGGCUCUGGCCGCCAGAGGUAGCAGGGGAGAUGAUAGGUACUAUGGGU